RNAcentral lists this ribosomal RNA (462 nucleotides) under uncultured bacterium. RNAcentral's name for it is "partial 16S ribosomal RNA". It matches the Rfam family "Bacterial small subunit ribosomal RNA", at positions 29 to 523 of the family's 1533-position model. The record is from RNAcentral.
AAUGAACGUUGGCGGCAUGGAUUAGGCAUGCAAGUCGGGGGAAUCCCAGCAAUGGGGGAACCGGCGUAAGGGGCAGUAAGGCAUGGGUACCUACCUUGGGGUUCGGGAUAGCCAUCAGAGAUGGUGGGUAAUACCGGAUGACGUCGUGAGACCAAAGAUUUAUCGCCCUUAGAGGGGCCCAUGUGAUAUUAGCUAGUUGGUGGGGUAACGGCCCACCAAGGCGAAGAUGUCUAGCGGGUGUGAGAGCACGACCCGCGCCACUCGCACUGAGACACUGGCGAGACACCUACGGGUGGCUGCAGUCGAGGAUCUUCGGCAAUGGGCGCAAGCUUGACCGAGCGAUGCCGCGUGAGCGAUGAAGGCCUUCGGGUUGUAAAGCUCUUUAGUGGGGGAGAAAAGCCGCAAGGUGUGAUCUAUCCCAAAAAUAAGCACGGGCUAAGUUCGUGCCAGCAGCAGCCGCAG